Long non-coding RNA from Caenorhabditis elegans, 1623 nucleotides. Ensembl annotates it as ncRNA. Its record names the gene linc-82. The record is from Ensembl. Lineage: Eukaryota; Metazoa; Nematoda; Chromadorea; Rhabditida; Rhabditidae.
UGGCCCGUGGAUGGCCUGUGGGUGGCCUGUGGAUGUCCUGUGGAUGUCCUGUGGAUGGUCAGUGCAUGGUCGGUGGUGGGAUGUUGCCGAACAACCAGCGGCAUCAAUGGUCGUGUCGGAAGCCGAGGCCUCGGACGAAAAACACGUGGAUCCGGAUGGAAUGGACAGGAUCGGGUGGUAGCAGCGGACAGUGACCAAUAUUGAAACCGUGGCACACUGAGAAUGUGAGGAGUCAUGGAGCACGUUGAUGAGGGUGGAGCUGGAACGAUCGGUUGGACACUGGAGUAAGCUGAUAGGCUUUAAAAGAGUGGCACAAUAAACGGAUGGGCGGUCAGGCAUGUCGUCGAGCAAGCAGCGAAGCGAUACCACUUUGGACUGGGAACCGAGGAGCAUGUGGAUGAGGCUGGAAUGGCCGGGUAGCUGCAGAGGACAGUGGUCAAGAAUAGAAUGAUGACACAAUAAACUGAUGGAUACUGGAUGAGUAGAGGGACCUCGAGAAACGUAGCGACUGAAAGAUGGGGCGGGGGCAGUGGAGAACGUGGAUCAGGAUAGAUUGGAGCGAUCGGGACGGUGUGCAAAUGGCAAUGGAGUCAGUCAAGGAUGGACUUUAGUCCAACAAAGGUAACGAGGGUUUGAAAUGAUUUUGAAAAAAAAGUAAAAUAAAAUUUUUGAUGAAAAUUAAAGACACUAAUAAAAUAUUAUUUUUUAUUCGUCUUUUCCAAAUCAGUGUGUCCAUUUUUAAAGUGUCUACUGGAAGCUUCAUUUUUUGAAUUCCAUAAAUUAAAAUUUCAUUUCCAAAUCAGUGUGUCCACUUUUAAAGUGUCCACUGGAAGCUUCAUUUUUUGAACUCCAGAAAUUUAAGUUUCAUUUCCAAAUCAGUGUCCCGUGGUGGAAAAAUUUUUUUUUCCUUUUUUUUGGGAUGAAAAAAUUCGCAAAAAAAAUUUUUCAUCCCAGAAAAAAAAGGGGGAAAAAAGGUUCAGAAAAAACAAACAAACAUUUUUGUCGCUGGAUGGACUUUAGUCCAACAAAGGUAACGAGGGUUUGAAAUGAUUUUGAAAAAAAAGUAAAAUAAAAUUUUUGAUGAAAAUUAAAGACACUAAUAAAAAUAUUAUUUUUAUUCGUCUUUUAAUUUUACAAAAUUUUCAAUAAAAAUUUAAGACACUAAUAAAAAUAUUAUUUUUAUUCGUCUUAUAAUUUUAGAAAAUUUUCAAUAAAAAUUUAAGACACUAAUAAAAUAUUAUUUUUAUUCGUCUUUUAAUUUUAGAAAAUUUUCAAUAAAAAUUAAAGACACUAAUAAAAAUAUGAUUUUUAUUCGUCUUAUAAUUUUAGAAAAUUUUCAAUAAAAAUUUAAGACACUAAUAAAAUAUUAUUUUUAUUCGUCUUUUAAUUUUAGAAAAUUUUCAAUAAAAAUUAAAGACACUAAUAAAAAUAUGAUUUUUAUUCGUCUUUUAAUUUUAGAAAAUUUUCAAUAAAAAUUAAAGACACUAAUAAAAUAUGAUUUUUAUAUAUCUUUCUUUCUUUCUUUAAUUCAUUUGUCUUUUUUUUCAAUUUUGAAAUAGUUAUUUAAUUUGGUCAAUUUUGUUUCUUAAAUAAUCUUGAUAAUAAAACAUCGAUUAAAAAUAU